GCUCUUCCUCUAUACUUUCUCUCACUAGUUGAACAUUUUGAGAGAGAGAGAGAGAGAUAGACUUUCCUUGAUAGCUUGAAGAACUCUUGAAAAGAAUUCCACUAUAAAGCCACUAAGGUUCCAAUGAGACUCCACAUCUCCAUUCGGAGCAUUAGAUGCAGUUAGAGUCAAUCAAAGCAUCAACAAAGACACUUUUUCAAGUUCGAAGGUAGUUGGAUUCCUAGGCCAAGGUGCUUCUUCUUAUCUAUUUUUCGGUAGGUCGCCUAGAGUCACUCCAUUGACGGUUAAGGUCUUUGUAUAUGCACAUAUAUAUUUAAUGUGAAUUGUUAAGAUACAUUUGACAAACUAUUUAUGUAUAUUUUAAUUUA
Molecule: non-coding RNA, 368 nt
Organism: Theobroma cacao (cacao)
Lineage: Eukaryota; Viridiplantae; Streptophyta; Magnoliopsida; Malvales; Malvaceae
Source: RefSeq, a predicted model, not a curated record